Small nuclear RNA from Sinocyclocheilus grahami, 135 nucleotides. The record is from Ensembl. NCBI's taxonomy places the organism in Eukaryota, Metazoa, Chordata, Actinopteri, Cypriniformes, Cyprinidae.
AAAAAGGGCAUCUACUAUAAGUGGUAUACCUGCGGAAAAGUUUUUUAGACGCAGUUACGGAAUCAAUAUCAAGAGAUUUCGGAUGCAUAAUUUUUACACCCGGGACAGCUAAUGACUUUAGAUCUUGGCGCCCCA